AUUGAACGCUGGCGGCAUGCCUUACACAUGCAAGUCGAACGGCAGCACGGGAGCAAUCCUGGUGGCGAGUGGCGAACGGGUGAGUAAAGUAUCGGAACGUGCCCAGUCGUGGGGGAUAACGUAGCGAAAGUUACGCUAAUACCGCAUACGAUCUAUGGAUGAAAGCGGGGGAUCGCAAGACCUCGCGCGAUUGGAGCGGCCGAUAUCAGAUUAGGUAGUUGGGGGGGUGAGGGGUCACCAAGCCGACGAUCUGUAGCGGGUCUGAGAGGACGACCAGCCACACUGGGACUGAGACACGGCCCAGGCUCCUACGGGAGGCAGCAGUGGGGAAUUUUGGACAAUGGGCGAAGCCUGAUCCAGCCAUGCCGCGUGCAGGAUGAAGGCCUUCGGGUUGUAAACUGCUUUUGUACGGAACGAAAAGGUUUGGCCUAAUAAGCUGAGCUCAUGACGGUACCGUAAGAAUAAGCACCGGCUAACUACGUGCCAGCAGCCGCGGUAA
Molecule: ribosomal RNA, 499 nt
Filed under: uncultured bacterium
Lineage: Bacteria
Description: partial 16S ribosomal RNA
Rfam family: Bacterial small subunit ribosomal RNA
Source: RNAcentral